ACGGAAGAAACAGCGUGCACGUGGCACCCGCGGCCAGAGCAGCGCGCGGCGGGGCCGGGAGACCAUGGCGUCGCUCAGUGGUGGCACCGUCGUCUGUGUGAUCUGCUUGGAAAAGCCCAAAUACCGCUGCCCCGCCUGCCGCGUGCCCUACUGCUCGGUGACCUGCUUCCGGAAGCACAGAGAGCAGUGCAAUACCGAAACUCGUCUUGUUGAGGAAAAAAUACCAGCUUUUACUGCAAGAACAAUAAAGCCCGAGGAAAACAAAGAUGAUGAUGACGACUCUGUAGCUGAUUUUCUCAAUAGUGACGAGGAACAGGACAGAGUUUCUUUGCAGAAUUUAAAGAAUUUAGGACUGUCAACUCGGUGUGAACCCGGACCAUGUCUUCUUGACUCAUCAAUGCUCUCCGUAAACAGCACCAAUCCUGGGAAGUGCUUGGUAAACAUUUGAGACUGAGGAGUGACCCAAACACGUCACGUCAGCACUACCAGACCCACCUUGAACCUGGACACCACGGUCAACACAGGGGUUCUGCUCUUGCCAGAAGGCUCCUCCUGGGACUUCUCUUCUGGAACUAUGUGCUCCACGCCCCUCCCACCCCGACACCGUGUCCAGGUUCAGUGGCACAGAGGAGCGGUCCACUUCUUGGAGACUGCAAGGCGGGGCCCAAAGUCUCAGAUUCUCAGGAAGACGCAGGUUCAGAGGAGGCUUCCAGUGACCUCUGUCAAAUGGAGCUACGUGACUCACCAGGAGCUUCUGGCCCAAGGCACUGCCCUUGCCAUCAUGGACAACACAGAGGAUGCAAGUGGGCUACUUCAAUAAACCCUUUCCCAUAAGUAAUCCCAGCUACCUUCAGUGUCUAUGUGCACUGGUUCAUUUAACUCUCACAGAAGUCCCAUGAGUUGGGUGUUGGUCCUCCUUUCCUUGCCAUUUUAUAGGUGAAAGAACAGGUUUACAGAAUUGAAAUAUCUUUCUGAUGUGCUCUGAACCACUGUGCUGGAAUCCCCAAUAGCUAUCUUUUGUUUCCAUCGGUGUCAGAGAUGGGAGAGACCUAUGAUGAGGAAAUGAAGGCCUAGGUCCUAGGCCCUAGGAGGAAAGUAUCUCACCUAGAGUUACAUCAGAGCUGGUGGAAGAGCCUGGACUAGAAUCCUGACUUCCUUUCCUGCCCACCGCUACACACUGACUCCCUGGUAAAGCCAGCCUGUCCGGGAAUGACGAGGCAGCAAACGGCUCCACGAGGAACGUCCCCCUCCCUCUCUGCCCACCCAGCCCGUCAUGAAGUCGACAGGAUGGGAAAGAGGCCCUCCUACCUUUCCAGCACCACUCUCUCCACUGACAACGAUGGACUGGUUGACUGGCUGAAUCAGGCUCUUGACAUUCCUGUAGGUCUGUUCACCCACAGUGAAGAUGUGGGGCUUCAGUUUCUGAAACAUCAAGGAGCGAAAGGUCAUGUGAGGGAAUGCGCGUCUUCAAGGAAUGCUGAUCUAAUGAUGGCUGAGAUGGGGAGCCUGCCAACAGCAGUGCCAAGAGGCUUCCUCUAGAAAAAUGUCCUGGAUGUAACAGUGUUAGGCCCAACUGUGGGACCCCCCUGGUGGCUUUACCCACUCAUCUUCUCUCAGUCUGGAAGCAGAGCUAGCCUUGAAUACUUUAUCCCAUUUUAUCUUAAAAGUCUUAUUCUGUUCUGUAUUAUUUUGUUACUGUACUUUGCAGUUUGCAAAGAAUUUUCUUUCAAGUUACUGCUAAGAAGUCUGUGUUAGAUGGAUAGCUAGUCCUCUUUUAUAGAUGAGAAAUCUGAGGUUCAGAGGGGUUAAAUAACCUUCCCAAGGCCACUCAGCAAGUAAGUGAAACCAUCUGAUUUGCAUCCCAAGGCCACUGUUCUCCUUUCCAUCACCAAACAUUAAUUGUCCUCAAUGUGCCAGGUAUGAAGGUGGGCACUGGGAAAGCAGAGGGCACCAUGACAUGGCUUUUGCCCUUAGGAGGCAGAUGGUCAGUGAGAUACGGGCUCUCAGGACAGACCUCACAUGAUUCCACCCCACAAUGAUUGCUUACCCACAGCUUCCUGAAGAAGGCACAGUUCUGGAUGGUGUCAGAGCUGUCCCUCUCUCCAUCAGCUUCUGCCCCAGUCACUUCUCACCUGGACUAUUACAAAGUCUUCAACUGUUCUCCCUGCCACUUGUCUCACCUUCCUCAACGCAACUCCCCCAGCUUCCAGGGUAAUUCUCCCCCCAGUGGGCACCAUUCAGUCCACCUCCACUCCUGGAAGCAGCUCUGUGGACUCUGCCUGCUGUGAUGACUCAGAACCUUCCUAUUUAUCUCAGCCUCUUCCUACCUCAUCUACUGCCUCUCUCCCCAAGAGCCCCUUCCUGCCAGCAAGUCUGCUCUUGCCUUUCCCUGAACACAUGAUGCACUUUGACACCAGCUAGUCUACUCCCUGCCUGCACUUCCCCCGCCCCCAUAAGAAUGUAUUCCUCUCAGUAGAGAUGAACAUGCACUGAAUUUUCUAGGGUAAUCCUUAGCGCAUUAAUUUUAUCUUUUUCCCAAACAGUGGUUUGUUAAAUACACAAACAUAUCUUUGUAAAUCCUUUCCUAUUAAUAAACUCAUAA
Myotis lucifugus (little brown bat) is the source of this 2602-nucleotide RNA transcript. It is a transcript of the gene named zinc finger HIT-type containing 3, with no coding region annotated. NCBI's taxonomy places the organism in Eukaryota, Metazoa, Chordata, Mammalia, Chiroptera, Vespertilionidae. The transcript has 7 exons. The record is from RefSeq and is a predicted model, not a curated record.